RNAcentral lists this ribosomal RNA (493 nucleotides) under uncultured bacterium. RNAcentral describes it as "bacterial SSU rRNA". It matches the Rfam family "Bacterial small subunit ribosomal RNA", at positions 903 to 1397 of the family's 1533-position model. The record is from RNAcentral.
AAAGGAAUAGACGGGGGCCCGCACAAGCAGUGGAGUAUGUGGUUUAAUUCGAAGCAACGCGAAGAACCUUACCAGGGCUUGACAUACUGAGGGAUGUCUUAGAGAUAAGGCAGCCUUUCGGGGCUUCAGAACAGGUGGUGCAUGGUUGUCGUCAGCUCGUGUCGUGAGAUGUUGGGUUAAGUCCCGCAACGAGCGCAACCCCUGCAGUUAGUUGGCAACGGGCAAGCCGGCCACUCUAACGGGACUGCCGGUGACAAAUCGGAGGAAGGUGGGGACGACGUCAAAUCAUCAUGCCCCUUAUGUCCUGGGCUACACACGUACUACAAUGGCUGAUACAGAAGGAAGCGAAGCCGCGAGGCAGAGCAAAUCCUCAAAAAGCAGUCUCAGUUCAGAUUGCGGGCUGCAACCCGCCCGCAUGAAGCAGGAAUUGCUAGUAAUGGCAGGUCAGCAUACUGCCGUGAAUACGUUCCCGGGCCUUGUACACACCGCCCGU